Molecule: non-coding RNA, 496 nt
Organism: Pelobates cultripes (western spadefoot toad)
Lineage: Eukaryota; Metazoa; Chordata; Amphibia; Anura; Pelobatidae
Source: the annotation of a GenBank genome assembly
CCUGUGUGAUUUAUCCAGACCUGUUGCUCCCUGCCUAGCACACCUAUCCAGUCAUUCCCAUUGGUGGCAUUCCGUUAUCAGUGACUUGGAUAAUAAAAUGCAAAAUCACGGGGAUGGACAUGGGGGCCCUGGAUGCCCUAAUAUAGAGAAUACCUUACCCACCCCUGGCCUAGACCCGGGUCAUUUACCCUCUCAGGAAUUCCAGUCUCUCCUGGAAUCAACUAUGGCCGGUUCGGUCCAGCGAGCCUUGGCUUCAGCCAUGGGCUCUGUGUCCACCUCCCUAUCCCAUUCCCUGGCCCAGGCACUCAUGUUGCCCCCUGAAGUGCAACCUACUAUAACGGCCCAAACUGAGGUACCAGUCCCUGCGGCCCGUAAGGCAAAAGCCAAAACUAAGCAUACAUCAACGCUCCCACUGAUGCAGGUCUCCCCUGCCAUGACUGACCCGCCUAUGGCGGUCCUAGAUGGCGUGUUGCCACGCACAAGAGCCACUGGUCGG